ACAUGGUGAAGUGGGUUGAACUGAAACUUGUUGACUUAUUGUGUUUUUCACAAACUGGUUUAUUUCCCGUUGAGGCGGACCACUCUCCUCCGUGUCCCUGAGCUGCUGCUUCAGAUCCGUCACUCUGCUGUGCUGUGAGGGAGUUAGUGGAUGAAGAUCGGCAUGAGGUCGCUGUAGCGCCAUCUACAGGAUAAGUCGGGGAACUUUUCAAUUGGUGAAAC
This is a non-coding RNA of Xyrichtys novacula (pearly razorfish), 221 nucleotides long. The record is from the annotation of a GenBank genome assembly. Lineage: Eukaryota; Metazoa; Chordata; Actinopteri; Labriformes; Labridae.